Molecule: long non-coding RNA, 3829 nt
Filed under: Equus caballus (horse)
Lineage: Eukaryota; Metazoa; Chordata; Mammalia; Perissodactyla; Equidae
Description: lncRNA (ENSECAG00000044537.1)
Source: RNAcentral
GUAGAAAUGGUGGAGAUAGUAAAUAAUAAUAGAUAAUGCUGCAAUGAACAUAGGGGUGCAGAUAUCUCUUCAAGAUAGUGAUUUCAUUUCCCUCGUAUGUAUACCCAGAAGUGGAUUUACUGAAUUAUGUGGAAGUUGUAUUUUUAAUAUUUUGAGGAACUUCCAUACUGUUUUCCACAGUGGCUGCACCAAUUUACAUUCCCACCAACAGUGUAUCAGUGUUCCCUUUUCUCCACAUCCUCUAAAAAAACAAAACUCAAGGAAACAACAUAGAUUGGUGGUUGUCCAGGGAGAGGAGAGGAUGAGUGAAGGUGGUCAAACGGAAACUUUUAGUCACAAGAUGAAAAAAUUCUGGAGAUGUAAUGUACGGCAUAGUGACUAUUGUCAACAACACUGCAUUGUAUAUUUGAAAGUUUCUAGGGCAGUAAAUCUCAAAAGCCCUUAACACACACACACACACACACACACACACAAUUGUAACUAUGUGAGGUGGUGGAUGUGUCAACCACCCUAUUGUGAUAAUCACUUUGCAGUACAUACAUACAUCAAAACGUCAUGCUUUACACCUCAAGCCUACGUAAUGUAAUUUGUCAACUAUAUCUCAAUAAAGCUGGGGAAGAAAAAUAAAGAGAAAUAUGUGUACUUUAGUAAAAUAUACACUGUUAUAUAAUGAUAUUAUGUAUGUCAUAUGAAGAUGACGUCAAAAUCUAUUUUUGAAAUUUGUCAACCAAAAAAGUUUAAGGACAGUUUUUUUUUUAAACCUGGUAUAAAAGGAAGUAAAACACUUUAACAUAUUCUUGCUAGGAAAAUAUUUAUCAAUGAAGUCAAUAUCCAAUUAUUUUUCUGUGUUUCAUAAUGCUGUUUAUGGUUUGUGUUGCCUUGGCUAAUUCUCAAAAUGUCAGCUACUGUUUGACUAUUUCAAUCUAUUGUACAUUUUAUAUUUUCAACUGACUCUUGGUUUUGGAUGAAUUCCAGGAGAGCUAAGGCAUUACUAGUUGAUUGACCUAAGUCUGAUUUAGCAAUGCCUUUUUGCUUUAAUCUUAGUAAUUUCCAAGGCAAACUCCAAUGUCUUUGUGGAUGACUCUAUACAAGGCAAUUCUUUGACUUCAGUUCUAAUGAUCUUUACCUCUACAUUAAUUCAGUAUCUGACACAUAUAGCCACAUCUUGAAAUAUAUCCAAACUUCACACUAUACCGCAUGUGAAAUAUUAAACUUCAAUUCAUCACUGUAUCUUUAACUAUAACAACCUAUCUUUUCAACUGUGUAACACUGAUACACCUAUUCUUUGUAGGAAGUCUCCAGGCCCUGGACUACUCCAUUUCCUUUUAAUCUGUCUGCUGCUUUCUAGAUACACUUUCUUUCUUUUCUAACCUAGAUUCCAAAGUCUGUGUUCAAUGACACAGUCCCUAUUACUCUGCCUCUUGCUCCUUGCCCUUCUGUUGAAAUCCUGUGUAAAAUCAUAACUUUGGAUUGAUUCAACAGUUUUACUUCUUUGCUUUUUCACAAGUGGACUAUUGGGAAAAAAUGCAACACAAAGCUUCUCCCAUCUUUAAAAUAUCUUCUUUUGACUUCACACCCCCUUUUAGUUAUAUCCAAAUUCUGAACAUCUUGUGAAAAUCAAGCUGCUUUGUCGGGGAAUAAACAUUUGCUGCUACCACUUCAGAAAAAAUUCAGUCCUUGUGUUUUCCAAGAUGAACAAUGACCUAUAAAAUGGACACUUUUUAUCUUCACCUUGUCAUUGUUGACCAUUUUCUCCUUUAAGAAAGAAAUACUUCCUUAGCUUCUGUGACUUAAUUUUCUCCUUGAUUCCAUCCUACUUCUCUAGACUUUACCUCCUAGUUUCCUUUGUGGGAUCCUGUUUUUCUGCCCGUUCCUUAAAUUUCACAUUCUCCAAGUCUGCUUCAUUGGCUCUGUAUUCUUUUUACUAGUCACAAUCUAAGGUUACUUAAACCACAUCCAUGGUUUCAAUUACCACUUAUAUGUUAUAUUUUUAGCCCUAAAUUCUGCCCUGAACUCAAGACAGCUGGUUCUUGGUAAUCUCACUUAUACAUGUCUUACAGGAAUUUUGAGCUCUACGUGUUCUAAAAAUAACUUAGUAACUUUCACCCAAAAUCUUUCUCAACUGUAUUCUCUCUCUAAAUGAGUGGCAUGAAAAUUCCCACAUUCAUGCAAGCUAGAAAUGUAGGAGUCAUCCCUGACUCCUGCCUCUCACUCAGUUUCCACAUCCAACCAUUCCUAGGGUCCUGCUGAUACAAUGACUUUACUUCCAUCAUGUGUAUUUCUGCUGAUAGUCAUCUAUUGCAAUGCUAGUAAAUGAUAAUUUUUGGAGGCAUCAUUCUUUCUUUUCAGAAGCAUUUGUAAAUAAAUAGGUCCUCAAAAAGACCAUGUGGUGACUAGGAGUUGAAAAGACAUAGCAGAUGACUCUGCUCCUUCCCUCUGUAUGUUGCUGCUAAGGUAUCAGCAGCCUCGACAGUAUCCUUCCCCCAAAUGGAGUACCUAAUGAGACAUUAUCAUAACACUUUACAAAAGAGGGAUUUAUUUCCAUGGACAGUGUGUGUGACUAAGAUGUCAUUGAGUGGGACUUGAAGUCAAGAAGAGACCUUAGGAAAGUCACUAAACAUCCUUUUUCCUCACUUCUAAUAGAAGAACAUAUUUAUUUCAUAGAGUUAUGUGGAGAUAAGCAAGAUAAUAAAGAUGGAGAGGCAUACGUGCUAAAUGUUCAUUUUUUUCAUCCCCUUUAUUUUUGUUUUUAAUACUUCCCUGAGUAUUUUCUAUGUGUCAAUCUUGGACUGACCACUCUGAGUCCUGUUUGGAGGGAGAGAGCUUCUAAAGCAUUGACUGCGUACACGCAUGGAGGUACCAUGUUAAUGCUGUAUACAUUCUCAUUGCAAGGCACCACCCAUGGCUAGAAACGUGAACAUAUUAGAAGAUCCCAUACAAGCAACCUCAAAAAAAGUCCCAGGAGGGCCAUGCUGGGCUUCAGUGUCCGCCUUGACUAGCUGAUGCUUCACGGAACUUUACCACUCUCCAAGCCACAUCUAAGAAGAGCCUUCUACACACCAAGCUUACUGAACUAGGAUCCUUUGGCGUGCAAUCUCCAGCAAAUAAAUGGCAAAGUAGUAGAAUUCCAUGGAUGAGUGCCUUUGAUUUACGGCAUACAACAUGGUCAUCUCUUUUUCCAGAAUAACAGUGACACACACCCACCUCAGUAAAUUGACUUUGCCAAGUGACCUACAGUAUCACUCCGUGUUGUACAGAUAUUUGAUCAUUAAACUUCUACCUCACCCAACCGAAGAAUCUCUGACACAGAUCUUACUUUCAGGAGCCCUGUUUGAGCAACUCUAAGCUGAGAUGAGAACAGUCUUGCUGCAAAUGAACUUCGUCUCUGAGCUCUUUUUGUUGAUGUCUAGAGUGAGAGUUUCUAGAAUCUAUCUGUGGGAUCUAUAUUAAGUUAUAGUUUGUAUCAAAUGGCAUGAUAGUCUUUACCAAGCAAGAGGGCAGUGGAGUGUUUUUGUGGUUCUUUAUGGGCACUGAAAUAUUUACUAACCAUGUUGGUUUUAUUAAGUAAUUGGAGAUACAGACAAAUCAACACCUCGGGGAAAUCUACCUGACUCAAAACAUUUCAGUCAGUUUCCUGGUCACUGCUGAGCCGAAGAAUUCAUCGGGAGUGAAUGCCAGAGUUGAGGGUUGUUCUGAAGACCCUGAACCCAGCAGGAAACAGCCUGGAGAGCCAUGUACAACUGGGCAGAGAGGAAAUGACAGGAGACAGGUUGGGUUGACUGUCUUAGGCAAGAACAUAUUGGAACGGCGUUGAACAACGUGAAGAGGG